GCUGAUGUUUACAGUUAUGGUAUUAUGCUGAUGGAGGUGUUCACAAGAAUGAAGCCAACCGAUGAAAUUUUCAGUGAUGAAAUGAGCCUGACACAUUGGGUGAGUAACUCUCUGCUUCACUCAAACUCCGAAGUUGUGGACAACAAUUUAAUGGGAAGGGAGGAUAAAGAUUUUGCUGCCAAGGAGAAAUGCAUUGCAUCUAUCUUGAGUUUGGCUCUGGAAUGUACCUCAAAUUCACCUCAGCAGAGAAUCAAUAUGGAAGAUGCGGUUACUAGACUCAAGAAAAUCAAAUUCAGGCUUUUAGCAAAUAUAGAGAUGACCUGAAAGUGUUAGCAAGUAUAUAGUUCUAUAACAUAUUUUGUUUAUUGAUUUAUAUGCAUUACAGCAUCAGGAACCUUGUUUAGUAAUGAAUGUUUUAAGAUAGCACUGAUGAUGUUCUGAUCUUGUCUAGUUUUGUACAUUAUUUUUGGAGAUUAUUACGAGGUUAGGGAUUGAACCAUCUCUCUUGUACUAUUG
This 516-nucleotide unclassified non-coding RNA is filed under the name Hevea brasiliensis (rubber tree). Lineage: Eukaryota; Viridiplantae; Streptophyta; Magnoliopsida; Malpighiales; Euphorbiaceae. The record is from RNAcentral.